AUGCAUACAUGUCAACUAUGGCCUAUUGGUGUUGGGUCCAACAAUUCGCAUUGGUCUCAAACCAAUGACAUCCAUUUGGAAGACCAUGAGUUUGAGGUGGACGAGGAGGGUGAGGGCAUUGUCGACGCGCCGAAAGGAAGAGCGGGCAAUUACAGCACCAACGAUGACAAGUUACUAUGCAAUACUUAUUUGCAAGUGUCGAGGGAUCCAUCCAUUGGAGGUGAUCAAAGUAGAGAUGCGUAUUGGGGGCGAAUGAAAUAA
RNAcentral lists this ribosomal RNA (261 nucleotides) under Triticum aestivum (bread wheat). RNAcentral's name for it is "partial small subunit ribosomal RNA". The record is from RNAcentral. Lineage: Eukaryota; Viridiplantae; Streptophyta; Magnoliopsida; Poales; Poaceae.